UGCGGGAGUGGCCUCGGGCGCUAGAUGGCAAUGUGGCUGUGCGACAUCCCGGGAACGGCAGCAGCGAAAGUCUCCACACUCUAAAAGCUGUGCAAACUUCCUUUUCCCUGCAUUAUGACUACACGGGGAACAUUUCUUAAUGAGUUAGACUGAGGCUGUGUUUCCUGUCUGAGAUGAUAUUGAAGAUGAAGACUGGCUCCUUCUCCCGUUUCCUUCCUACAGACCAAAAGGAGACCUUUCCAAAGUAGGAGACCCUUCCUUUCAUCUGGAGGCAAACACAGCCCCAUUUGUAGCCCUUCUCUCUUCCACAAUGAUGAGAGUUGCUGCUUGCAGGUAAUAGAGAAGAUUUGUAUUUAAUGAAUGAGCACCAAUCUGAAGGGAUCUUCCUGGACUUGGGCCCUUGCUGCCAUCUCCUGCCAUGCUGCUCCCAGAUCCCCUGCUAAGCACUGGAGCUCUGCUCCUCUUAGGGGCAAUAAAAAUUUCUUUGCAAGUCCCCUUUCUACAAACAAGGCUUGCUCGUGAGCAUCACGUUUUGUGCGCUGCUGGGAUGCUGAGUGAGCAAACUGAGCUUGGCUUCAGGUGCUGCUCUGCUGCGUGGAGGUGCAGUGAUUUACUGGCUGUGCUUUCCUGCGCUGAUGUCUGUAA
Long non-coding RNA from Zonotrichia leucophrys gambelii, 645 nucleotides. RefSeq lists it as uncharacterized. The record is from RefSeq and is a predicted model, not a curated record. The transcript is spliced from 5 exons. NCBI's taxonomy places the organism in Eukaryota, Metazoa, Chordata, Aves, Passeriformes, Passerellidae.